GUCUGGAUGGGGCCUGAUUCAGAUCCCAUUGAAGUCAAUGAGAAUAUUUCAUUUGAGCUACUGACUUCAGUGGGCUUUGGUUCAGACCCACAGUCACU
RNAcentral lists this non-coding RNA (98 nucleotides) under Chrysemys picta bellii (western painted turtle). The record is from RNAcentral. RNAcentral also lists the same sequence under 1 other name. Lineage: Eukaryota; Metazoa; Chordata; Testudines; Emydidae.